This 1478-nucleotide ribosomal RNA is filed under the name uncultured bacterium. Its description in RNAcentral is "bacterial SSU rRNA". It matches the Rfam family "Bacterial small subunit ribosomal RNA". The record is from RNAcentral.
AGAGUUUGAUCAUGGCUCAGGAUGAACGCUAGCGGCAGGCUUAACACAUGCAAGUCGAGGGGUAACGGGGAAGCUUGCUUCCGCCGACGACCGGCGCACGGGUGCGUAACGCGUAUACAAUCUACCUUAUACUGGGGUAUAGCCUUUAGAAAUGAAGAUUAACCCCCCAUAGUCUCUUAGAGUGGCAUCACUUCUAGAGUAAAGGUUACGGUAUAAGAUGAGUAUGCGUUCUAUUAGUUUGUUGGUGUGGUAACGGCACACCAAGACUACGAUAGAUAGGGGCCCUGAGAGGGGGAUCCCCCACACUGGUACUGAGACACGGACCAGACUCCUACGGGAGGCAGCAGUGAGGAAUAUUGGACAAUGGAGGCAACUCUGAUCCAGCCAUGCCGCGUGUAGGAUGACUGCCCUAUGGGUUGUAAACUACUUUUAUACAGGAAGAAACACCUCUACGUGUAGAGGCUUGACGGUACUGUAAGAAUAAGGAUCGGCUAACUCCGUGCCAGCAGCCGCGGUAAUACGGAGGAUCCAAGCGUUAUCCGGAAUCAUUGGGUUUAAAGGGUCCGUAGGUGGAUAAUUAAGUCAGAGGUGAAAUCUUGCAGCUCAACUGUAAAAUUGCCUUUGAUACUGGUUAUCUUGAGUUAUUAUGAAGUAGUUAGAAUAUGUAGUGUAGCGGUGAAAUGCAUAGAUAUUACAUAGAAUACCAAUUGCGAAGGCAGAUUACUAAUAAUCAACUGACACUGAUGGACGAAAGCGUGGGUAGCGAACAGGAUUAGAUACCCUGGUAGUCCACGCCGUAAACGAUGGUUACUAGCUGUUUGGACUUCGGUCUGAGUGGCUAAGCGAAAGUGAUAAGUAACCCACCUGGGGAGUACGUUCGCAAGAAUGAAACUCAAAGGAAUUGACGGGGGCCCGCACAAGCGGUGGAGCAUGUGGUUUAAUUCGAUGAUACGCGAGGAACCUUACCAGGGCUUAAAUGUAAGUUGCAUUAGUUAGAGAUAGCUAUUUCUUCGGACCACUUACAAGGUGCUGCAUGGUUGUCGUCAGCUCGUGCCGUGAGGUGUCAGGUUAAGUCCUAUAACGAGCGCAACCCCUGUUGUUAGUUGCCAGCGAGUCAUGUCGGGAACUCUAACAAGACUGCCAGUGCAAACUGUGAGGAAGGUGGGGAUGACGUCAAAUCAUCACGGCCCUUACGUCCUGGGCUACACACGUGCUACAAUGGUAGGGACAGAGAGCAGCCACUACGCGAGUAGGAGCGAAUCUAUAAACCCUAUCACAGUUCGGAUCGGAGUCUGCAACUCGACUCCGUGAAGCUGGAAUCGCUAGUAAUCGGAUAUCAGCCAUGAUCCGGUGAAUACGUUCCCGGGCCUUGUACACACCGCCCGUCAAGCCAUGGAAGUUGGAAGUGCCUGAAGUCCGUCACCGCAAGGAGCGGCCUAGGGUAAAGUCGAUAACUAGGGCUAAGUCGUAACAAGGUA